ACAGAAAUGCAACAACCGGUUUAAAUCUACCCUGUGAACCCAACAUUUAUAAUAAUAUGUAACCUUGUGGGGUCUGAGAUGAGGGAAUGUUGCAAUUUUUGCUAAGCCGGCUCGGUGCCUCCUGACGCAGAUAGCAAAUCAAGGACAAAGUGGUGUUAAUCUAUGGCAACUUUCUUUCGAUACCUCCCUGCAAGCGACUAGGGUUAUUAUUCAUGGGGAAAGUGUUUAUUAGCUGCACAUUGCGUCAUGUUUUAGCUGCCGACCGUGGUUGAUUGCCACAUGGCUGAUGUUACAGAGUGUUUCACUUCAUGUCCGCAUUCCAGCUAAUGUUGCGCAGAUAAAAUUCAGACUGGAGGUAAACAUGGGUGCUGACGCUCUGUUGACAUGGUCCAAAUCCAAAACACAAGCAGCACCACAGUGCCCGCCCCUUCCCCUUCCAGUUGUGCGUGCUUUUUGUUGUUAAAAUCUGUUCACUAGUCUGGUAACCUGUGUUUGUAUUAACUUACUGGCUUUAGAUGUGCCGAUAUUCCUCUCCCUCCCCAAAGAACACGAUGUAAACAGAAAUAAUAAAGACGUCACCAUGGUCCGGCUAGGUACAGUGAGCAGCACCUGACGCGCGUUGGAGGCCAGCGUGAACGCGCGGGGCGGGGAGCGCGCCCAUGACGAUGUUUAGUUUUGCAGCCCAAGCCUCUUGCAAAGUUUGAUUUUCUUGCCCCUUUUGCAAAGAGCAUUGCCACCUCUCGCCUUGGGGGUUUUAAUGCAACAUUAUAUCCAAGUCUUAAGACUGGGAAGAGGGAAAUAAACAGUCGCGGGGGCGCGCUUGCGGAUGAUGCGCAACUGCAGCUGCGCGACCCGUGCUCGCCCCCGUGAACGCGCACGGCUGGGGAAGAGGAUGCUGCGUUCGCGUGAGGUUUGAAGAAGAUUUCUUUGCGUGCGAAGGAGCGGAAAGAAGACCUUUUAAAAAUCGUCAGUGUUACAAUUUGUUAGUUUCUGGGUUACAUUGCAUUGGCUACAAUGUCUUCUGCAAAGUAACCAAGUACUUCCAGAGCUGUCUCAACCCUCUGACGGAUGUGACUUGUUUCCAUGUCUCUGUGACGCAGCAACCUUUUAACUUUUCUGAUAACAUCACUGCUUCUUUCCCUCCAUCCUGAAAAUUCUCUGACAGACAACCCCCAGAGCACGCAGGGGAUGACUUCAAAAAAAACACCUCUGAAGGUUCAGUGGGUUGUUAAGAAACAGCCAACAUUCUAAGAUUGCUUUUCCGAAGUCAUGAGUUCUGUCUGGUUGUCUUUCAUUACUUGACCCUGCGCAAACCAGUACACUGAGGUUCUCCUCAACUCCAGGUCCGGAGGAGCUUGCAUUACUGCACACAUACUCGUCGCGGUUCAUCUCCAGCUUGUGUGCCUUACUGAUCCUGGAAGCUACCAGUCGUGUUUCCCUGUCAUCGGUUCAUGUGGAACCAGACCGAUCUCCCCUCGUGUUCUUGUAUUAUUGAUACUUGUCCAGAACUGCAAGGGUUAAUUUUCUUUUGCAAGCAUGACGUCCUUCGCUUUGACAUCCUAGUCCUUGAUGUUAAGGGGGAGUGGGAAGAAGAGGCUGGACUAGUUGGUUACUUUCACAUCACAACCCUUGCUUCUGUUUGCUUUACUCGGACACAUUCUUAGAAGCAGGUCUGCUAUCGCUUUAUCUGCUUCCUCCAUAUAAUGCUCUACAAUGUGGCGCAUGUAUUGGCUCAAUUUGCAUUCUUCAGUGUAAAGC
Pristis pectinata (smalltooth sawfish) is the source of this 1758-nucleotide long non-coding RNA. RefSeq lists it as uncharacterized. NCBI's taxonomy places the organism in Eukaryota, Metazoa, Chordata, Chondrichthyes, Rhinopristiformes, Pristidae. The transcript is spliced from 3 exons. The record is from RefSeq and is a predicted model, not a curated record.